AUACUGUUAGCUCAGAUGGGUAGAGCAGUUGACUACGAAUCAACUAGUCCCGGGUUCAACUCCCGGACAGU
This 71-nucleotide transfer RNA is filed under the name Puniceicoccus vermicola. Its description in RNAcentral is "tRNA-Arg". It matches the Rfam family "tRNA". Rfam says of the family: Transfer RNA (tRNA) molecules are approximately 80 nucleotides in length. Lineage: Bacteria; Pseudomonadati; Verrucomicrobiota; Opitutia; Puniceicoccales; Puniceicoccaceae. The record is from RNAcentral.